GACGAACGCUGGCGGCGUGCCUAACACAUGCAAGUCGAGCGUGAACCGUCUGAAUGAAGCUUCGGUCGAGUGAGGAUGGGGAAAGCGGCGGACGGGUGAGUAACGCGUAGGCAACCUGCCCCGUACAGAGGGAUAGCCUCGGGAAACCGGGAUUAAGACCUCAUAAUACCAUUAUCUCACAUGUGAUAAUGGUCAAAGAUUUUAUCGGUAUGGGAUGGGCCUGCGUCUGAUUAGCUGGUUGGUGGGGUAACGGCUCACCAAGGCGACGAUCAGUAGCCGACCUGAGAGGGUAAUCGGGCCACAUUGGAACUGAGACACGGUCCAAACUCCUACGGGAGGCAGCAGUGGGAAUAUUGCACAAUGGGCGAAAGCCUGAUGCAGCAACGCCGCGUGAGCGAGGAAGGCCUUUGGGUCGUAAAGCUCUGUCGAGGAGGAAGAUAAUGACGGUACUCCGUCGAGGAACGCCCCGGCUAACCUACGUGCCAGCCAGGCCCGACGGUAAACCU
RNAcentral lists this ribosomal RNA (506 nucleotides) under uncultured bacterium. RNAcentral describes it as "bacterial SSU rRNA". It matches the Rfam family "Bacterial small subunit ribosomal RNA", at positions 28 to 527 of the family's 1533-position model. The record is from RNAcentral.